Long non-coding RNA from Gopherus flavomarginatus (Mexican gopher tortoise), 2477 nucleotides. RefSeq lists it as uncharacterized. NCBI's taxonomy places the organism in Eukaryota, Metazoa, Chordata, Testudines, Testudinidae. The record is from RefSeq and is a predicted model, not a curated record. The transcript has 2 exons.
AUGGCUGUAAUGCCCGCACGGACGCUCGGAUUUGGACAGGCAUGCCAUUCUUCAGUUCUGUUUGGUUUGUUUUGAAAGAGGUUUAAGAUUAAGUGAAAACAGUCGCUCUUAGUCUGGAAUCAGAGUGUCCACACGGGGAGUUACACUGGUAAUAACAGGUGCAUCGGUUUAACGAUAGUGGUGUAAUUACACGGGUAAAAUGCUUCUGUGUGGACAAGCCUAACUUGACCUGUAAUAACUUGGGUUUCCUGUCAUAGCGCCCCCGGGUGCCUGGAGGUGGCAUUUCAAGGGGUCUUCAACCCUUGCGCCUCUGCAGCCCAUCUGCCUCUCCUCAGGUGUUGCGUGGCUCAGCCCUCCACCUAAAGUCCAAGCCCCGUCCGGGGUGCCCAGAACCCCAAAUGAACGCCACUUUGAACAACCGUCCCAAAUUAGCCUAACAAAAGGUCCUUCGCUCCCUCCUGGGCUCUACCCACAUUUCUUUUUACUCUUAUCAGCUCACUGGCUCCCCAGGCUUUUCCCACUCAGAGUCCAAAUGCUGAUCAUCCACCCCGCCAGGCUUCCUCUUUGGUUCCCUGCUCCUGUAGGCCCUGGCUCAGGGCCCCUCACUGGAGCCUUCCCUGCUCCCUGUGACUCUCCCGGUCCCUGUUCCCUUUCUGGAACAGUGGCCCCAGGACAGCCUCCUUGGAUCGUCCCCUCUCCCAGAGCCCACCAUGGAGAUUAGUUCUAUCCCCAGGGCUUUCCCCUCUCUGCCUGCCCCAGGCCAUUCCCUGUCUCCCCUCUCCUGGGUCUGCUCCCUUCAGUGGAGAUCCCUCAGCUCCUUACAAGGCCCAAGGUCUAGUUAGCUCUGCUCUCUCCGGCCGGGAGGCCAUCAAUUAAUCACCCCACAGGUAUGGCCCAUAACUCUCUUUCUUCCUUGUCUAGCAGGUGACAGAGGUCCCCCCAUCACAGACCCCACCAGCAGGCAGCACCUGAACUUCCCUGCAGGCCGUGUCUAGGGGGUGAUGCCCAGCUCAGCGAGGUAGCGCGUUACCAGUAGCAGCGUAGCCGAGGUAGCCCAGGCAGCGGGAGUGCUGACAUGGGCCAGCCCACCCAGUACAAACCUGCCUGGACCCCUGGAUGUACUCAGGGCAACUAGCCUGGGCCGUGGCUGCACAAGUUACCAUGGCUACACUGCUGUUUUUAGCACACUAGCGCGAUGAGGUGUGUGUACACGAGUGGGGAAUCACCCCCAGUUCACAGUGUAGACAUAGCGUAUGGGCAUAUCAGCAGUAGUAGGAUUUCAUGUUUGUAUUUUAUAUAAUUUAGAAUGAAGGCUAAAGAAUAAUAAUGUAGCAUGUAUUAAAUGUACUGAUGUAUGAUUUGAUCAUAUCCUGCCAGAAUAGCAGAAAGGAAUGGCCUAGUGGGCCAUUGGUAGAGAGACAUCAGCCAGAAUCUGUGUCUAUGCUGAUUUCAAGGCAGUGACAGGCCUUUGGGGGUCACCAAUUUGUUGCAUUUUUAAAUCAGUAAAAGAACGCGGGGUUUGUUUUCUCUGGCAUUGCAACUUCAUGUUCCUGUUCAAAAUGUUGUGUGUAAAUCAAUUCUGUGUUGUGGGUGAAUGAGGGAUGGGGGUUAAGAGGUAAGUGUGAAGGCCAUCGCUGAGCCAGAUGGAUGAGGGAGGAACCGGAGACAGACGCAAGGGCACCAGGAGGCUGCAACAUGCCCCUAUUGGAAUGUCAGAGGAGGGCAGAUUGACGACUCUAAAGAUGGAGCAGGCACCUAUCAGUGGGGACAAGACAGCUGUGAUCAAACCCAGCCUGGAGUAACGCCCUGAGAGACCUGAUGAAAGAACAAGAUAAAGGAUGAGAAGGACAAUUUAAGAAAACAAGCCCUCGUCAGCAUGACGGUGCAAAACUCACGGGUCCCAGUGAAGGCAGAUCACUAUAUAAACAGGGGACUUGCCAUGGAAGGUUGGGUUCGUCCUGCCCAGACUUCCCCAGAGCAUCGUGUUGUGACCGACAGAACCCAACCCCUCCCUACCCAUGAUCAACCUUGCUGGCAACUAGGUUGAUCCAGAUUCUGGACUGGUUGUGGUAACCUGUGUCUGAACUAUUUAAUGGAUAAAUUACCCUGUGCUAAUUCCCAGGAUGUUUGGAAGGAGAAUUAAGCCUGUUGUUUUCUUAGGCCGAAAGGCUGCUGGAAAUGUAUAAGAACCCUGGGACAUGAUCCUGCUUCAUCUCAGAUCUGCUUUGGGUUUCAAGAGGGGGAAACCUUAAGCCACAAGGAUUGAAAUCCCCAGUCACUGACUGGAGCCACCCUGAAUAUGGACAUUGGACUAUAACCUCUGGACUAUUUCUGAAAGGACUUUUGGCAACUACAAGCUCAUCUCUACUAUGUAUCUGAACCUCAAGAAUUGAAUUCAAGUCUGUCUGUAUAUUGAUCUUUUAACCAACUCUCUCUCUCUUUUCUUUUUUAAUAAAUUUUAGCUCAGUUAAUAAGAA